This 89-nucleotide small nucleolar RNA is filed under the name Lachancea lanzarotensis. RNAcentral's name for it is "Small nucleolar RNA snR52". It matches the Rfam family "Small nucleolar RNA snR52". The record is from Rfam by way of RNAcentral. Lineage: Eukaryota; Fungi; Ascomycota; Saccharomycetes; Saccharomycetales; Saccharomycetaceae.
CAUAAUGAUGAACGAACAUGCGUGAACAAUCUCUGAGUAGACCUUAGUGUCUAUGUAGGAUUAUAAAACUUGUUGCCUUCCUUCUGAUG